CGAGCGGGCGUAGCAAUACGUCAGCGGCAGACGGGUGAGUAACGCGUGGAACAUACCUUUUGGUUCGGAACAACACAGGGAAACUUGUGCUAAUACCGGAUAAGCCCUUACGGGGAAAGAUUUAUCGCCGAAAGAUUGGCCCGCGUCUGAUUAGCUAGUUGGUGAGGUAAUGGCUCACCAAGGCGACGAUCAGUAGCUGGUCUGAGAGGAUGAUCAGCCACAUUGGGACUGAGACACGGUCCAAACUCCUACGGGAGGCGGCAGUGGGGAAUAUUGGACAAUGGGCGCAAGCCUGAUCCAGCCAUGCCGCGUGAGUGAUGAAGGCCCUAGGGUUGUAAAGCUCUUUUGUGCGGGAAGAUAAUGACGGUACCGCAAGAAUAAGCCCCGGCUAACUUCGUGCCAGCAGCCGCG
RNAcentral lists this ribosomal RNA (411 nucleotides) under uncultured soil bacterium. RNAcentral describes it as "bacterial SSU rRNA". It matches the Rfam family "Bacterial small subunit ribosomal RNA", at positions 63 to 519 of the family's 1533-position model. The record is from RNAcentral.